Molecule: long non-coding RNA, 1029 nt
Filed under: Melopsittacus undulatus (budgerigar)
Lineage: Eukaryota; Metazoa; Chordata; Aves; Psittaciformes; Psittaculidae
Description: lncRNA (ENSMUNG00000018215.1)
Source: RNAcentral
GUGGGGCCUGGAGCAGAUGUGGGGGCGCACUGUUUGCUUCCCCUCUGCGGGAGCUGCACUGUGGGAUCCAUGCUUAGCCUCCAACCUGAUACAGUCCACUUGGCAGUAAGGCGCCCCUGCGGCGGGGCACUGCUGCAGCCCCUGCCGGCAGAAGCAGAGCUGCCAGGGUUGGCUCAUUUGUAUCACUGGGGGAAAGCUGGCAUCAGGGACACUUUUAUUCUAUGUUGAAGGAGCAGCAGACCUUUGAGCUGCAGGUAAAGGUAUUUGUCUGAAAACUCCACUCUAAGAAAUAACAAUGAAAAUGGACCUUCUGGCAUCUGGGUGGUCAACAGAGACAGUGGAGCACUAUUCUGGCCAGAACUACCUCCUGUAUGAACACCAUGUGGCAACAUGACUAGUUCUGCUGCAACAUUCCCCAUGGCAAGAACCAGGAGUAGAACCCACUGGUCUUGUGGCAUUGGGCUGCAGUGCUUCGCUAAGGACCCAGAGGAAACAGGGCUGCUCCAGCUAUGCCAGUUAGAAUCUGAUGUCUGCUCCUGUACCACCAUGCAACUUCUUCACGCAGCCUCUCCUUGGAGCUGGACUGUGGUUGAGUUGCUUGAAAAAGAAGAGAGGAUACAAGUUUGUAAAGGUUGCAAACCUGAAGCUCCCUUACCUAGUUGGCGCAAGGAACCAGAUACUAACUGGCUACAAUUUGAAAGCUUCCAGAAAGUCCAUGAAAAGGGUAUCUGAUAUGUUGGUGCUGCUGCAGUAAUAGCUAUGUCAAAACCAGAAGGUGUUGCAACUUCCUAAGCAGUAAUAAUAGAUGGGUUGAUACCACCUACUUCCUUAGUUUGUCUUUUCCUGCUUUGUCAUAAGGGUGUCUGUCUGGUAGGACUAGAAAAAGGAAGACAGUGAAGUUUUAAAGGAUUUGCAAUUGUAAUGAGCACUAAUUCUUGUCAGAAGCAGACUACUAAGUUGCAGGGUGAAUGACAACCUGUGGGUCCAAGCUCCACUAUAGAGAGGUGGGAAUAGUGAGUCUGAAAGUUA